Molecule: ribosomal RNA, 776 nt
Filed under: uncultured Neocallimastigales
Lineage: Eukaryota; Fungi; Neocallimastigomycota; Neocallimastigomycetes; Neocallimastigales
Description: partial large subunit ribosomal RNA
Rfam family: Eukaryotic large subunit ribosomal RNA
Source: RNAcentral
AGAGAGAGACAUGCGCGCAUAUCAAUAAGCGGAGGAAAAGAAACUAACAAGGAUUCCCUUAGUAACGGCGAGUGAAGCGGGAAGAGCUCAAAUUUGAAAUCUUCAAGGUUUUACCUUGACGAAUUGUAGUUUAAAGAAGUGUUUUCUGCUGAAGUUUUGGUAAAAGUUCUUUGGAAUAGGACAUCAUAGAGGGUGAGAAUCCCGUAUUUGACCAUUAUUUUCAGCUUUGUGAUACACUUUCAAAGAGUCGGAUUGUUUGGGAAUGCAGUCCAAAAUGGGUGGUAAAUUUCAUCUAAAGCUAAAUAUUGGCGAGAGACCGAUAGCGAACAAGUACCGUGAGGGAAAGAUGAAAAGAACUUUGAAAAGAGAGUUAAACAGUACGUGAAAUUGUCAAAAGGGAAGCGUUUGACACCAGUGUUGUUUUCUCGAAAAUCAAUUAAAAAUGGCUCGAUUUUGUAUUGCUGAGACCUUAAAAGCUCACUGUAGCAUUUUUCGUGUCUUUUUUAAUGCACUUUUCGUUUAACAAGUCAACAUCAGUUUCUUUUGUUGUAAAAGGGUCAUUGGAAGGUGGCUUUCUUUUCGGAGAAAGUGUUUAUAGCCUUUGGCCUCUGCAAUCGGAGAGACUGAUGGUCUGCAGCGUAGACUCUUCGGGGUUAGAUACACUUGUGCUAAGUUAUAGCUUUUUAUAGACAACUUGUUGACUAUAAUUAGUCCUGUAGCUUACUCGCUUAUGCUAUUUUACCUACGCUUAGGAUGUUGAGUCGUAGAGCACGCAG